GACGAACGCUGGCGGCGUGCUUAACACAUGCAAGUCGAACGGAAAGUCCCUGCUUUUUUGUGUUGCUCUAGUGGCGAACUGGUGAGUAACACGUUUUUAACCUUCCCUUUACUUUUUUAUAACUUCAUGAAACUGGUGCUAAUACCGUAUAGUAGCUCCUGCUUCAUUGUGUUGUUUGGAAAUUUUCGGAGGUUGGGGAUGGACUCGCGGCUUAUCAGCUUGUUGGUGGGGUAGUGGCUUACCAAGGCUUUGACGGGUAGCCGGCCUGAGAGGGUGACCGGACAAAUUGGGACUGAGAUAAGGACCAGAAUCCUACGGGAGGCAGCAGUGGGGAAUAUUGCACAAUGGGCGGAAGCCUGAUGAAGCAACGCCGCGUGAGGGAUGAGGGCCUUCGGGUUGUAAACCGCUUUCGCAUGUGACGAAGCGUGAGUGACGGUAAUGGGUAAAGAAGCACCGGCUAACUACGUG
This 468-nucleotide ribosomal RNA is filed under the name uncultured bacterium. RNAcentral's name for it is "partial 16S ribosomal RNA". It matches the Rfam family "Bacterial small subunit ribosomal RNA", at positions 28 to 507 of the family's 1533-position model. The record is from RNAcentral.